This 406-nucleotide ribosomal RNA is filed under the name uncultured bacterium. Its description in RNAcentral is "partial 16S ribosomal RNA". It matches the Rfam family "Bacterial small subunit ribosomal RNA", at positions 30 to 526 of the family's 1533-position model. The record is from RNAcentral.
AUUGAACGCUGGCAGCAGGCCUCACACAUGCACGUCGAACGAGUGGCGGACGGGUGAGUAAUGUCUGGGAAACUGCCUGAUGGAGGGGGAUAACUACUGGACACGGUAGCUAAUAACGCAUACCAUCAGAUGUGCCCAGAUGGGCUUAGCUUGUUGGUGGGGUAACGGCUCACCAAGGCGACGAUCCCUAGCUGUUCUGAGAGGAUGACCAGCCACACUUGAACUGAGACACGGUCCAGACUCCUACGGGAGGCAGCAGUGUGCAAUAUUGCACAAUGGUCGCAAGCCUGAUGCAGCCAUGCCGCGUGUAUGAAGAAGGCCUUCGGGUGGUAAAGUACUUUCAGCGGGAAGGCGUUACCCGCAGAAGAAGCACCGGCUAACUCCGGGCCAGCCGCCGCGGUAAUAC